ACUUAAAUCUCCAAAAUUCCCAACAUACCCCUCCACAUUUGUAUCUCCACUGCCUCUUCACGACUUCCACCUUCUUGCAAACCCAUCCUUAUCCCAUCAUCUUCUCUGCAAUUAUCCACCAUCUUCUCUGUAGUUGGCUUGAAGCGACCGGAUCUGGUCUUCUUCUCGUCUUCCUUGAAGGGGCUAUUUCCGUAUGCCCAGUAAUAUGUACUUGGCCUUCACUUACAACCAACAGAUCUGGUCUUCUUCUCGUCCUCAACAGCCCUACAUUUAACGGCAGAUCUGGUCUUCUCGUCCUCAACAACCCAUUAUUGGGAAAUGGCAGGUUUUCGGUUCGAAGUCGCCGCAUCGUUUCUUUUUGUCUCCCUUCCGUUUCCCUCUUUGUUAUUUUUCAUCAAUUUUUCUUUAAAUAUUAUCGUACUAAGAAUUUGAGGAUGAAUUCAAGGUAUUAGAUCAGUUUAUGGUUCA
Long non-coding RNA from Tripterygium wilfordii, 468 nucleotides. RefSeq lists it as uncharacterized. NCBI's taxonomy places the organism in Eukaryota, Viridiplantae, Streptophyta, Magnoliopsida, Celastrales, Celastraceae. The record is from RefSeq and is a predicted model, not a curated record. The transcript has 2 exons.